UACGUAGGCAGCAAGCGUUGUUCGGAGUUACUGGGCGUAAAGGGUGUGUAGGCGGUUGUUUAAGUUUGGUGUGAAAUCUCCCGGCUCAACCGGGAGGGUGCGCCGAAUACUGAAUGACUAGGGUGCGGGAGAGGAAAGUGGAAUUCCUGUGUAGCGGUGAAAUGCGUAGAUAUCAGGAGGAACACCGGUGGUGUAGACGGCUUUCUGGACCGUAACUGACGCUGAGGCACGAAAGCGUGGGGAGCAAACAGG
This 252-nucleotide ribosomal RNA is filed under the name uncultured bacterium. Its description in RNAcentral is "partial 16S ribosomal RNA". It matches the Rfam family "Bacterial small subunit ribosomal RNA", at positions 524 to 776 of the family's 1533-position model. The record is from RNAcentral.